This 73-nucleotide transfer RNA is filed under the name Urocitellus parryii (Arctic ground squirrel). Its description in RNAcentral is "Spermophilus parryii (Arctic ground squirrel) tRNA". It matches the Rfam family "tRNA". Rfam says of the family: Transfer RNA (tRNA) molecules are approximately 80 nucleotides in length. Their secondary structure includes four short double-helical elements and three loops (D, anti-codon, and T loops). RNAcentral also lists the same sequence under 1 other name. Lineage: Eukaryota; Metazoa; Chordata; Mammalia; Rodentia; Sciuridae. The record is from Rfam by way of RNAcentral.
GGGGAUAUAGCUCAGUUGGUAGAGUGCUUGCCUCCCAUGCACAAAGCCCUGGGUUCAAUCCCCAGCAACACCA